RNAcentral lists this ribosomal RNA (339 nucleotides) under uncultured bacterium. Its description in RNAcentral is "partial 16S ribosomal RNA". It matches the Rfam family "Bacterial small subunit ribosomal RNA", at positions 338 to 691 of the family's 1533-position model. The record is from RNAcentral.
CCUACGGGAGGCAGCAGUGGGGAAUAUUGGGCAAUGGGCGCAAGCCUGACCCAGCAACGCCGCGUGAAGGAAGAAGGCUUUCGGGUUGUAAACUUCUUUUCUGAGGGACGAAGAAAGUGACGGUACCUCAGGAAUAAGCCACGGCUAACUACGUGCCAGCAGCCGCGGUAAUACGUAGGUGGCAAGCGUUAUCCGGAUUUAUUGGGUGUAAAGGGCGUGUAGGCGGGAAAGCAAGUCAGAUGUUAAAACUCAGGGCUCAACCCUGGGCCGGCAGUUGAAACUGUUUUUCGUGAGUGCUGGAGAGGUAAGCGGAAUGCGGGGUGUAGCGGUGAAAUGCGU